Chrysolophus pictus (golden pheasant) is the source of this 1755-nucleotide long non-coding RNA. Lineage: Eukaryota; Metazoa; Chordata; Aves; Galliformes; Phasianidae. The record is from Ensembl.
GACCAACCAGGACCUGACCCAUCAGCACCGACCAACCAGGACCUGGCCCAUUGGCACUGACCUAUCAGGACCUGGCCCAUCAACACUGACCAACCAGGACCCAAUCCACCAGCACUGACCAACCAGGACCCAGCCCACCAGCACCGACCAACCAGAACCUGGCCCACCAGCACUGACCCAACCAGGACCCGACCCACCAGCACUGACCAACCAGGACCCAGCCCACCAGCACCGACCCAACCAGGACCCGAACCACCGGCACCGACCAACCAGGACCCAGCCCACCAGCACUGACCAACCAGGACCCAAUCCACCAGCACUGACCAACCAGGACCCGACCCACCAGCACCGACCAACCAGGACCUGGCCCACUGGCACUGUGAGCACUGUGCUGUGGGUUGGGGCUGCUGGUGCUGGCACAGCGCUGACGGGACCUGGCUGCCCAGAUCACCACCUCCCAGCCCACUGAUUUCCAUCCCACUGAUCCCUGCCCCACUGAUGCCCACCCCAUCUAUUCCUGCCCCACUGAUGCCCACCCCAUUCAUCCCUGCCCCACUGAUGCCCACCCCACUGAUCCGUGUCCCACUGAUGCUGGUUUCACCAGUACCAAUCCUACUGAUUCCCAGUUCACCACUGCCCAUCCCAAUGAUGUCCCAUCAAUACUCAUCCCACUGAUGCCCAGUUCACCAGUUCCCAUCCCAUUGAUGCCCACCCCACUCAUGCCCAGUUCACCAGUUCCCGGCCCACUGACGCCCAGUUCAUCAGUUCCUGGCCCACUGCUGUCCCAACCGCUGACACACAGCCCACUGAUGCCCAUCCCACUGAUGCCCGGCCCACUGACACCAGGCUCACCAGUACCUGGCCCACUGACACCCAGUUCACCAGUUCCCACCCCACUGAUGCCCCCUCCAUGCCUACCCGGCGCACUGAUGCCCAUCCCAUCGAAGCCUGUCCCACUGAGGUCCAUCAGUACCCGGCCCACUGAUGCCCAGUUCACCAGUUUCCAGCCCAUCGAUGCCCAGUUCACCAGCGCCAGCCCAUCGAUGCCGCGUCCAUUGAGGCCCACUCAAUCACUGCCUGGCCCAGUUCUUCCCAGUCCAUCAGUUCCCAGUCCACCAGUGUCAGCCCAUCCAUGCCCAGUUCACCAGUGUCAGCCCACUGAUUUCCAGUUCACCAGUGCCAGCCCACGGAACCCCAUCCACUGAUGCCCAGUCCACUGCUGCCCGGCCCAGUUCUUCCCAGUCCAUCAGUUCCCAGCCCAUUGAUUCCCAGUUCACCAGUGCCAGCCCACGAAACCCCAUCCACUGAUGCCCACUCCUUCACUGUCUGGCCCAGUUCUUCCCAGUCCAUCACUUCCCAGUCCACUGGUGCCCAGUUCACCAGUGCCAGCCCAUGGAACCCCAUCCACUGAUUCCCAGUUCACCAGUGCCAGCCUACGGAAACCCACUCAUUGAUUCCCAGUUCACCAGUGCCAGCCCAUUGAUUCCCAGUUCACCAGUGCCAGCCCACGGACCCCCAUCCAUUGAUGCCCACUCCUCCGCUGCCCGGCCCAGUGCUCCCCAGUCCAUCAAUGCAGUCCAUCAGCGCCCGCCCCACGGACGCCGCCCCACGGACAGACAGACGGACGUCGGUCCGUGGCUGCAGGGCAGGGGGCCGCGCUCCCUCUGCCCGCUCUCCGCUCCGCCGGGUUUCGGGGGGCUGUGGGGGGGGGGAGGUGGGGGUCCUCCUGCGCCUCUCAGCCCCGCGGAGAGCCCG